This 251-nucleotide ribosomal RNA is filed under the name uncultured organism. RNAcentral describes it as "partial 16S ribosomal RNA". It matches the Rfam family "Bacterial small subunit ribosomal RNA", at positions 142 to 408 of the family's 1533-position model. The record is from RNAcentral.
AACAACAGCUGGAAACGGCUGCUAAUACCCCAUAGGCUGAGGAGCAAAAGGAGGAAUCCGCCCAAGGCGCGGCUCGCGUCUGAUUAGUUAGUUGGUGAGGCAAUGGCUUACCAAGGCGACGAUCAGUAGCUGGUCCGAGAGGAUGAUCAGCCCCACUGGGACUGAGACACGGCCCAGACUCCUACGGGAGGCAGCAGUGGGGAAUUUUCCGCAAUGGGCGAAAGCCUGACGGAGCAAUGCCGCGUGAAGUC